ACUUUGGAAGACAUAAGCAUGGACAGAAAGCCAUGGGCAUCCUUCACCUGAAGAAACAAAGAAACUGAGCACUUGAGAUAUGUGAGGGCUCUUAGCCAGAUAGUCUGGUCACCCAUGCUGGAAAAGAGGCUUGUCCAGUGCUGGACUGUGUUCUGGCUGGGGACUUUGUGUCACACAAUGAGGACUGAAACAUGCUCCUGCAAUCUGGGCACAUCUUUCACUUUCUAGCUAGCCCUAUGAGAGGCAUGUCUCCUCUCUGUGAGCUUCAGGGAGGCAGUCAUCGGAACAUCUUUUCUCAGCAUAUUUCAGAACAACACAAUUUCAAACAUCAGACAACAAUGAGCACUAAAGUCUACUGCAAAUGCUAAUACUCACUAGUCACAGGGGCAGAUAAAGGCUCCUUUUCUUUCAUUUGUAAAAGGUGCAAUAACUAUUUUUAAUCCUGAAAUAACUAUUCUUUUUCCCCUCUCUUCUGUCUUAACCCUAACACCUUGAAUUUUUAGUCUUUUACUCUUUCUUGUCCUCUAAAGGCCAGCCUCGAGAAUUAUCCUGCAUGUAAAUAAGUGAAGUCCCUAAGACACUUGUGGUUUGUUGUCUCUGCUAUAGCAGCAGAUUGCAGUUGCUCAUUGUGCUUCAGAUGACUGCUGCAUAUGUGGUACCUGGUUGUUUCCCUAUUAGAGUUAACAACAGAAAAAGGAAAAUCUGCAUUCUCUAAACCACAUUUCUGUAUUAAUUUAGUGAAUGGAUGUUGCAUCAUGGGAAUACAAGCAUUUUGCUAUUUUUCCAAGGGCACUGCUACAUACUAUAUCAAUCUGACUCCUUGGCAUGUCUAAAAAGUGGACACAAAUCUGGGAAGUUACCAAGGAGCCUAUAUCUUGCACUUCCUAUAUAUGUAUAUAUUAUACACACACAGACU
This is a long non-coding RNA of Dermochelys coriacea (leatherback sea turtle), 916 nucleotides long. RefSeq lists it as uncharacterized. The record is from RefSeq and is a predicted model, not a curated record. NCBI's taxonomy places the organism in Eukaryota, Metazoa, Chordata, Testudines, Dermochelyidae. The transcript has 3 exons.